This 646-nucleotide long non-coding RNA is filed under the name Oryza brachyantha (malo sina). RNAcentral describes it as "long non-coding RNA (OBRA_LNC001895)". The record is from RNAcentral. Lineage: Eukaryota; Viridiplantae; Streptophyta; Magnoliopsida; Poales; Poaceae.
UUUUGACCAAAUAUCAACUAUUAUUACAUUGUGCAGUAUACUCUUUCUUACCUGCAUUGAUCCACCUUACAACCAUAGAUGCCUUGAUAUAAAAACACUCAAAAGAUGACAGUCGGGCAUGGAUUUAAACCCAAUAGCAUACACAUAGUUACAAAAUAAAUAAUAUAUCCAAUCCCAAUAGAGCUUUUACUCAAGGAUAAAUAGAUAGCUGAACAUGAUCAUCUUCCGUAACCCAAACUCUAGUCAUGGACUCAAGAUAGUACGUUAUACUGCGACCCCAUUCCUCCCCACUACCUAUACCCCAAUAUUUCACCUCCAUUUCUGCACACCCUGAUACUUCCUAUGCCGAUCCUGGAAUGCUUGUUCAUCUACAAUAGAUUCUUAGCAUCAUCAUAUAACUGUACUUGAUUCACUUUGCUAGACAUCAUGUACUGUAGACACUUUGCCUUUAACUCCUUGCGUUUUUUCUCUACGAAUUUUUUGGGGCAUCAUGUGCACAUCCUGAUCAUGAUUAUCCAUCUAUCAUGUGCUAUAUACACACAUACACAUAUAUGUGUGUAUGUAUGAAACCAUGUAUGUAAUUAUGUAAUAGGCUAUUUUUCAAGCAUUAAAGCCAACAAGUUGCCAAACACUUUGAGUUGGAGAG